UCAAACAAAGUACAAUGUUACCCCUUUCACUACAUCUCAAACAAACCCUACCUGAUCUCCUGCCAACACAGCCGCUCCACUCCCUCACUCCCACAUCUCCGGCUCUUGGAUUCCCGACGACACCCACCAGCCGAACACCACCCCCCUGUCAGUUGCAGAGCCGACCACCACCAUCGGGUGGUGGUGAGUGACGUUUGGACCCAGAAGUGAGAGAGAUUAGAGAGAGAGAGGAGAGCCGACGUUGUUCGAGAGGCGACAAGGCUGAGAAGAGAGAGAGGCAUAUGGACGAGAGAGAAAGAAGGGCGGCGGCAGCACCGCCGUACACGUCGGUGGCCGGCGGCGGUUCGGAAUGAUUUUCUGGCGACCCGCCAGAGAAGAUGAUGGUGGCGGCGGUUUUGUUUCUCCUGACAGCUUCACGAUAAACCCCGUUUCCUUUUUUUAUAUCUUUUCGCUUCCUGUCGGUUUUGUUGUCCGAUGAUGAUGAUAGUGGUAUUAUUUUGAAGAUGAGAGGUUGAAAGGGACUGAUGGUGCGUUGAUUUGUGUGGUUGUUUCGAGCUCGGGUCAGGUUAAGGAUCAAGGUCAGCCGCGGUUCAGGAGUUUCGGGUCACCCAUGGGUUUGUUCGGGUCAGAUCUGGUCAAGCCUUGGAUGUCAGCUUUGGAUCAAAGUCAGUGGGUUCGGGUCGGAUCCAGAGAUGUUUGGGUCAAGCUCUGAAUUUUUGGGUUUUGGUUGACUCGGUCAAACACUCAAGAGGACUAACCAGCUGGACCUCAGUCUGCAGCCAAUAUAUUCAUGCUACUAGAGGCUUCAUGAUUUGUCCUCGGCUCUCGAGCAACCACAACAGUAUUAAUUACAGUUAGUUGUACGUGAUGACGAUCAGUAGCGGAGCAUGAAAGAAAACGCGGUGGGGGCCGGACUCUCAAAAUCCUCAAGACGGUAUGAAGGUUAUGGAUUCAUCGGAACGAAAAAGUCAUCAACAGAACAAAAAUAUCGGUCUUCAAGGUAGUGGAGGACAUAAAAGAAAUAACGUUUUGGUGGGUGACGAAGUGGUCAAGGCUUCAAGGGAAUCACUUUACAAAAGGGGUGUUCAUUUACUGGUGAAAUGCUCUAAAGGAACCACAAAACUCCACCAAAUCUUGCAAAGCUAGGAUGGGAUCGUAGGUGUCACUUCAAGAGCCGAAACCCACAAAGUGGAGCGAGCGAGGCGACGAUCAUGCAACAAGCCACCGCCGAGUAUUGCAAAACGUACAAAAAGAGAACUUUUCCACACGUGGCGUCAUGGGAAGUUGCGAGACAUCACCCGAAGUGGGUCCCCGUUGAGUUGGUUGACACGCAUGGUCCUACGGCUCCAAAAAAACGAGGCGGUUCGAAAAGAUCAAAGACAUCCGAUUCGGGGAACUACACGACUUCCGCGUCGGAUAACUUGCCCCAAAUGAACUUAAACGACGACCCUCUUGACGAACCCGAUCAACCCCUUGACGAGCCCGUUGAGGAAGAUACACCCACAAGGCCACGACGCAGACGAGGUGGUGAAUCGUCAAGCAAAGGGAAGGAGGCGGUGGCGGAGUCGAUCUUUAGAAUCGAAGAGGAGAAAAUGACCCAAUUCAAGAAGGCCGAACAAAGAAAAGAAACAAUGAUGUCCCUAAAAGUUGAACGGGAGCAGGCGUACAAGGAACACUUGAAAACGAUUGAAAGACAAAAUGAUUUAAAAAUCUUGUGUGAAAACCACGCCCAUCUUGAUGAACCGUUCAAGUCAGUUGUCAUUGAACAAAAGCGCGCGAUUUGCGCAAAGUGGGGUUGGGAGAUGCCACCGGUUUAGUUGUUUUUUUUAUUUGGUUAUGUAAUUUAUUUUUAAAGUUUAAUGAAAUUUAUAAUUUAGUGUUU
Helianthus annuus (common sunflower) is the source of this 1882-nucleotide RNA transcript. RefSeq lists it as uncharacterized. The record is from RefSeq and is a predicted model, not a curated record. The transcript has 5 exons. NCBI's taxonomy places the organism in Eukaryota, Viridiplantae, Streptophyta, Magnoliopsida, Asterales, Asteraceae.